RNAcentral lists this ribosomal RNA (408 nucleotides) under uncultured bacterium. RNAcentral describes it as "partial 16S ribosomal RNA". It matches the Rfam family "Bacterial small subunit ribosomal RNA", at positions 28 to 526 of the family's 1533-position model. The record is from RNAcentral.
GACGAACGCUGGCGGCGUGCUUAACACAUGCAAGUCGAACGAAGUGGCGAACGGGUGAGUAACGCGUAAUCAACCUGCCCUUCAGAGGGGGACAACAGUUGGAAACGACUGCUAAUACCGCAUACUGAAGGAGGGGAUUGCGUCUGAUUAGCUAGUUGGAGGGGUAACGGCCCACCAAGGCGAGGAUCAGUAGCCGGGCUGAGAGUGUGCACGGCCAAAUUGGGACUGAGACACGGCCCAGACUCCUACGGGAGGCAGCCGUGGGGAAUCUUCCGCAAUGGACGAAAGUCUGACGGAGCAACGCCGGGGGAGUGAUGACGGCUUUCGGGUUGUAAAGCUCUUUUAAUCGGGACGCGGUACCGGAAUAGAAAGCCACGGCUAACUACGUGCCAGCAGCCGCGGUAAUAC